GAUGAAGAACGUAGCAAAAUGCGAUAAGUAAUGUGAAUUGCAGAAUUCAGUGAAUCAUCGAAUCUUUGAACGCACAUUGCGCCCGCUGGUAUUCCGGCGGGCAUGCCUGUUCGAGCGUCAUUUCAACCCUCAAGCCCCCGGGUUUGGUGUUGGGGAUCGGCUCUGCCCUUCUGGGCGGUGCCGCCCCCGAAAUACAUUGGCGGUCUCGCUGCAGCCUCCAUUGCGUAGUAGCUAACACCUCGCAACUGGAACGCGGCGCGGCCAUGCCGUAAAACCCCAACUUCUGAGUGUUGACCUCGGAUCAGGUAGGAAUACCCGCUGAACUUAAGCAUAUCAAUAAGCGGAGGA
This 348-nucleotide unclassified non-coding RNA is filed under the name soil metagenome. RNAcentral describes it as "partial contains 5.8S ribosomal RNA, internal transcribed spacer 2, and large subunit ribosomal RNA". The stretch from base 1 to 120 matches the Rfam family "5.8S ribosomal RNA", at positions 35 to 154 of the family's 154-position model. The record is from RNAcentral.